Molecule: long non-coding RNA, 988 nt
Filed under: Homo sapiens (human)
Lineage: Eukaryota; Metazoa; Chordata; Mammalia; Primates; Hominidae
Description: HSALNT0246576
Source: RNAcentral
AUUCCAGCUUAAACAACUCCCCCAUCACUGAGCCUUCUGGCUGCUAUUCCGAGCUCAUUCUGCACAGCCCAUCUUUGCAUGACAGGGACUUAUGACUGUGCUCCCGUUCAGGUGUGUGUGACCACCUCUGGGGUGUGCCCCCUGCCCAAAGGCAACAGUUCCCACAGAAGAGAGGAGCAGCGAGCCCACGCACCUUCCAAGGCCCAGCAAAAGCUCGCAAAAGUGAACCACCACAGAGGAGUUAAAAACCCUCACUGCAAGGGAACUACGCUUCGAGGGAAAUGAAGAUCAAAUCCUGGUUUCGAUGGUACUUGUUGAGAGUUCACCUGUUUCGCCCACAGUAAUGAACAGGUGGAUGACAAUGAAGCCAAGUGCAUCAAAGGAAACAGAUGAAACCCUAAGCAGAAUCCACCUGCAAGUUUCAUCAUGUACAGCAGGCGCCCGGCCUCUGCCUGCAGCUCUGCCAAGCCCAAGGUGAAACCUCCCACCCGCUCAGCACCCAGCACGACUUCCUCCUGCUGAGGCAACCUGGAUCAGACCAAACGGACCCUUCCAAGAGACAGAAGGAAACAACACACAUGACUCUGGAAAGACUCGAGAUGCUCCAGCAGCCGCCCAGGGCUUCAGACGCUCUGGAAGGGACGUGCUGGCCCCAGGAGCUGCCAGAAGCCCGGCCCCGCCAGGCGUUGCUUCACGGCAGUUUCAUUCAUUCCCUUCCCAGGGAUUUCAGCCGGCUGCGUCAGACAAUUGCUCACUCUUGCUGAGGGCAAAUCUCUGAAUAGUUCUGAGGUGCUGCUGCCAAACCGCCUGGGUGCUCUGCCCUAAACGGCAGGACAGCACGCCUCACUCUUUGCCAGCAUAUGCCGGGGGGUGGCACAGGGCUCGGCUCUCCUAAGCCUUUGAGAAGACCGUUUUACACCUCGGGAGGAAGGGGAAAAACGAAUGUCUCUCCACCUCAACGUGGAACUUGGAGAUGUCAAAAUAAAAA